Molecule: unclassified non-coding RNA, 229 nt
Filed under: plant metagenome
Description: partial contains small subunit ribosomal RNA, internal transcribed spacer 1, and 5.8S ribosomal RNA
Source: RNAcentral
UCUCCGUAGGUGAACCUGCGGAGGGAUCAUUACAGAGUUCUCGCCCUCGCGGGUAGAUCUCCCACCCACUGUUAUCGUUACUGUGUUGCUUUGGCGGGCCGCCGGGCCCCGCUCGGCCGCCGGCUCCGGCUGGCGCGCGCCCGCCAGAGGCCCAGCAAACUCUUAAUGUUAGUGUCGUCUGAGUACUAUAUAAUAGUUAAAACUUUCAACAACGGAUCUCUUGGUUCUG